UGACUUACCUGCUGCUGUGGGAUAUUCAUUGGGAUUUCAGUGCUGCUUUUGGACAAACUUCCUGAUCCAGUGUUUGUUAGAAUCGUUAUUUGUGAGAAGAAACCUGGGUGUGCUCAUUUCUUGCUGAGGUUCCCCUCUCUGCCUUUGUCUCCAGCUCUAAUCCCUCUCUGCAAACACCUGCCUGACUUGGAAACAGCCCCAGGGAUGGCUCAGCUCAGAACUGAUCACAGACAGACCCUCUUCACUUCCACCCAAUCCCACACUGCUUGCAGAUGGAACAGGGGAAAACCUCUGCAGCUUGUGGGCUCUGACAGGUUUACCUGUCAGGCUGAAGAGAGACAUCACAAAGUUUCACCUGAGCACGAGGCUCUGGUGUGAGGAGCUAGGAGGAGGGGAUUUCCUGAGGAUUAUGGAAAAACAUCUUCAUUUCCCAGCCAAAUCCCAAGGUGAGGGUGCAAACCAGCCAGGCACAGUGCCAGGGUGAGCAGGGCUGGCUGCUGCCAUCCUGAGGUUUUUACAGCAGAGC
Long non-coding RNA from Catharus ustulatus (Swainson's thrush), 526 nucleotides. RefSeq lists it as uncharacterized. The transcript has 4 exons. Lineage: Eukaryota; Metazoa; Chordata; Aves; Passeriformes; Turdidae. The record is from RefSeq and is a predicted model, not a curated record.